CAUCAUUUUAUAUCCUGAAGUACAAUGUAAGAAUACUUGUUAAAUAACAUCAUAAUUUCAGGUAACCACAAUGUUCCAUUUGGAUCGACCCAUGUAUUUGCUUGGAUAUCUUGCCAGCCAAAGUCGGGUCUAUUUGAUAGACAAAGAGUUCAAUGUCGUUGGAUACACAUUGAAGUGUUAAGACCCUUGUAAUGCGUGGGGACUAUGAAAGAGCCAACGAAAUCUUACCUUCAAUUCCCAAGGAGCAUCGUAACAGUGUGGCCCGUUUCUUGGAAGCACGAGGUAUGAUAGAGGAAGCUCUGGAAGUAGCUACUGAUCCAGAGGAGUAUCCUAAUUUGUUUAAUGAUUGGCAAGUUGCACUUUCUGUUGAAUCUAGAGCUGCACAAGACAGGGAGUUAUCACUAAACAAAUGACUGCAAUAGAAGAAAUGGUUGCAAGUGAGUAAAAUUAGCCAGACCCUCAUCUUUGUGACAAGAUCUUGAAGUUAGUCAUUUGUGAAGCGUUCUAGUUUGCUAUUAGUUGCAGUUUUAGUUAUUGCUCUCUCAAUAUAUUCUUUUUCUUUUUUUUUCAAAGGAUGACCAGUGUAAUAAUUAAGCUUCAUAAUUUCUGUGUUUGGAUCCAAGUUGUAUAUAAAUGUACACAUUAUUAAGAUUUCAUUUUGUAUAUGUACAAGUAAAAGAUUUCAUUUUUAA
Long non-coding RNA from Cucumis melo (muskmelon), 692 nucleotides. RefSeq lists it as uncharacterized. NCBI's taxonomy places the organism in Eukaryota, Viridiplantae, Streptophyta, Magnoliopsida, Cucurbitales, Cucurbitaceae. The record is from RefSeq and is a predicted model, not a curated record. The transcript has 4 exons.